This 253-nucleotide ribosomal RNA is filed under the name uncultured bacterium. RNAcentral describes it as "partial 16S ribosomal RNA". It matches the Rfam family "Bacterial small subunit ribosomal RNA", at positions 524 to 776 of the family's 1533-position model. The record is from RNAcentral.
UACGUAGGGGGCAAGCGUUGUCCGGAUUUAUUGGGCGUAAAGAGCGUGUAGGCGGCCAGGGAGGUCCGUUGUGAAAACUCGAGGCUCAACCUCGAGACGCCGAUGGAAACCCCCUGGCUAGAGUCCGGAAGAGGAGAAUGGAAUUCCUGGUGUAGCGGUGAAAUGCGCAGAUAUCAGGAGGAACACCGAUGGCGAAGGCAGGUCUCUGGGCCGCAACUGACGCUGAGGAGCGAAAGCAUGGGGAGCGAACAGG